RNAcentral lists this ribosomal RNA (446 nucleotides) under uncultured bacterium. Its description in RNAcentral is "partial 16S ribosomal RNA". It matches the Rfam family "Bacterial small subunit ribosomal RNA", at positions 338 to 795 of the family's 1533-position model. The record is from RNAcentral.
ACUACGGGUGGCAGCAGUCGAGAAUAAUUCACAAUGGGGGAAACCCUGAUGGUGCGACGCCGCGUGGGGGAAUGAAGGUCUUCGGAUUGUAAGCCCCAGUCAUGUGGGAGCAAAUGAGACAGUAAGUACCACAAGAGCAAGGGACGGCUAAAUCCGUGCCAGCGGCGGCGGUAAUAUAGAGGUCUCAAGCGCUGUGCGGAUUUACUGGGGGGAAAGCGUGCGUGGGCUGUCUCGUAAGUCGUGAGUGAAAGGCGCGGGCUCAACCCGCGGACGGCACAUGAAACUGCGGGGCUAGAGUAAUGGAGAGGGAAGCGGAAUUCUCGGUGUAGCAGUGAAAUGCGUAGAUAUCGAGAGGAACACUCGUGGCGAAGGCGGGUUCCUGGACAUUAACUGACGCUGAGGCACGAAGGCCAGGGGAGCGAAAGGGAUUAGAUACCCGGGUAGUC